Molecule: ribosomal RNA, 439 nt
Filed under: uncultured bacterium
Lineage: Bacteria
Description: bacterial SSU rRNA
Rfam family: Bacterial small subunit ribosomal RNA
Source: RNAcentral
ACGAACGCUGGCGGCAUGCCUAACACAUGCAAGUCGAACGAGACCUUCGGGUCUAGUGGCGCACGGGUGCGUAACGCGUGGGAACCUGCCUUUAGGUUCGGAAUAACUCUCCGAAAGGGGUGCUAAUACCGAAUAAUGUCUUCGGACCAAAGAUUUAUCGCCUUUAGAUGGGCCCGCGUUGGAUUAGCUAGUUGGUGGGGUAAAGGCCUACCAAGGCGACGAUCCAUAGCUGGUCUUAGAGGAUGANCAGCCACACUGGGACUGAGACACGGCCCAGACUCCUACGGGAGGCAGCAGUGGGGAAUAUUGGACAAUGGGCGAAAGCCUGAUCCAGCAAUGCCGCGUGAGUGAUGAAGGCCUUAGGGUUGUAAAGCUCUUUUACCCGGGAUGAUAAUGACAGUACCGGGAGAAUAAGCUCCGGCUAACUCCGUGCCAGCCG